UACGGAGGGAGCUAGCGUUGUUCGGAAUUACUGGGCGUAAAGCGUACGUAGGCGGUUAUUCAAGUCAGAGGUGAAAGCCCGGGGCUCAACCCCGGAACUGCCUUUGAAACUAGAUAGCUAGAAUCUUGGAGAGGUCAGUGGAAUUCCGAGUGUAGAGGUGAAAUUCGUAGAUAUUCGGAAGAACACCAGUGGCGAAGGCGACUGACUGGACAAGUAUUGACGCUGAGGUGCGAAAGCGUGGGGAGCAAACAGG
Molecule: ribosomal RNA, 253 nt
Filed under: uncultured bacterium
Lineage: Bacteria
Description: partial 16S ribosomal RNA
Rfam family: Bacterial small subunit ribosomal RNA
Source: RNAcentral